Phasianus colchicus (ring-necked pheasant) is the source of this 1020-nucleotide non-coding RNA. Lineage: Eukaryota; Metazoa; Chordata; Aves; Galliformes; Phasianidae. The record is from RefSeq and is a predicted model, not a curated record.
UGCAAGGAUAUCUUGCUGGUGAUCCCUGCCUGCUUGAGGUUUUCCCAAGUGUCUCCUGCUCUAGAGGGGAUCUGUGCUAUGGAUUUAUUCAUCAGAAUGAAGGUGGUUACUCAGUAUUUGAAGAAAGAAUAACAACAAAACCCCAAUCCAGGAACUGACUGAGUUGCAUCUCGUCUGGGUGAUAUCUCUGGGCAAAUUCCAUCAGAAGACAUUGGGCAGCCACACCCAGGGCCAGAAUUUUCUCAAAAUCACCAGCAGUGGGUUUUUUUUCCAGUGGUAUGCGUGCAAAAGUAAAACAUGAAGCUAGCCAUUUUUAUUUGCACUUUCCAAGUACAAAGGCUUGGACUUGGAUGUGUUGGUAGAGAAUCAGUCUAAAAAUAGACUUACCUAAUCUGACCUUGCUAUUGAGCUUGAUAUCUAAGAAUCCGUGGGAAUGAUCCCCAGGCCUGAAGUUAUUGCCUGUUGUGAUUUGAGCUGUUUCCCUGUCUGAGGGUAGUACCGCAUUGUUCUCUUAAAGGUUGUAUGAGUCACAACUGAUGUGAGUUGCUUUAUCACUCUAAUUAGUCUAGAGAUUGAAAAAAGGAAAAGUAUAUGCAAAAGGUCAAAGGCAAAACACAUUAGUAGUCCUUGUAAACUUGCGAGGCGCUCUAUAUGAUUUUCUGUUUGAGAAAUAAAACACUCCUAACUCCUUUCAUCUAGGCUGCAACGUUGAAAUGUCUCUUCCAUGUGUCAGUGGUGUAAUCUACAUAAUGAACAAAGCCUCACAGAUGGAAUGGCUGAUGCAACGGACAUUCUUUUUGUAAAUUGCCCCUCGCUUUUAUCAUUUUCUUGGUUUCCCACAAGAGUAUGGACAAUUACUGAACUUACUUCCUAUACUGCAUAACUUUUAAAAGCGCUACAAUUCAAUGAGGUGAGAUUUUUGUUCCAGAAUAAUCAGUGGUACAAAAUAGCUGAAGGAAAAGAAGGCAAUCAUUAAAAAGAAGGGGAAGAAGAAAAAAUACUUUAGAAUGGGUAGCUUAA